UACGGGGGGGGCAAGCGUUGUUCGGAAUUAUUGGGCGUAAAGCGCGCGCAGGCGGCCUUUUAAGUCUGAUGUGAAAGCCCACGGCUCGACCGUGGAAGGUCAUUGGAAACUGAAAGGCUUGAGUACAGAAGAGGAAAGCGGAAUUCCACGUGUAGCGGUGAAAUGCGUAGAGAUGUGGAGGAACACCAGUGGCGAAGGCGGCUUUCUGGUCUGUAACUGACGCUGAGACACGAAAGCGUGGGUAGCAAACAGG
Molecule: ribosomal RNA, 253 nt
Filed under: uncultured bacterium
Lineage: Bacteria
Description: partial 16S ribosomal RNA
Rfam family: Bacterial small subunit ribosomal RNA
Source: RNAcentral